GCCAGUGUGGUGUAGUGGUUUGAGUGUUGGACUAUGACUCUGGAAACCAGGGUUUGAAUCCCUGCUCAGCCA
RNAcentral lists this transfer RNA (72 nucleotides) under Phrynosoma platyrhinos (Desert horned lizard). RNAcentral's name for it is "tRNA-OTHER". The record is from RNAcentral. Lineage: Eukaryota; Metazoa; Chordata; Lepidosauria; Squamata; Phrynosomatidae.